UUUUUUCUAAUUUCAUUUCUCUGAGCCAUGGAUAAGGUGAUCCAAUGCCAAGUGAAAGAGACAUUAGGGAGAAAAACUGAAGCGUUGAGCUUAUAGAUGACCAUCCAUCCUCUAGAACCAUCCCUGCCAUUAACUGCAAAAAUGAUAGAGUUCAAGAGUGAGAGAUUACAGAUAGGAGUACAACAGUAAAUAGUUCGGUAAUAUCUAAUAUGUCAAUGACUACAUACUUUUGUUAGACAAAAAUCUAUACGAAAAAUAGAUGAUAUUAAAAUAAAAUUCGUGAAAAUACAUUGUAUACCUUCUAUGUAAGAACCUUGUAAAAUUAACAUGCCAAAAUUGUUACCCAUUUUUGAUUUUCAAUCUCCAAUUAGACAACCAACUUCGACCCUCAAUAAUAAUCUAUAAAAUCACAAAUACGACAUCACACAGAUAUACUACAAAUAAAGAAACAAAAUCUGAAAAAAUGAAAUAUUUAUUAAUUAUAGAAAUCACGAAAGUUCAUAUGACAACAAAAGACAACUCAUAAUUUGUAGCAAAUCUAUCACUUAAUAUUGAUUUAUUAUAUAAACAAACAUAAAAUAUGCAAACUCAAUUAACACUUUAUGCAAACAGAUGGCGUGCAAACUGUAAAUAACAAAUGGAGUCAGACAACACUAAUUGGAGCAAACAACAGAAUCACAACAAAAUCGCUUAANCAAAAUUCCUCUGACAACGAAGUAGGAUAGAGUCUUACAUAUUUCUUCCCAACAAUCUGUAAACCAAGAAGCGCAUAAAUACCACAAACACAUAAAUAUACGACUUUAGUCUAAUAUGUCUCGGAUUCAAUCUCAGAAGCCUACUCAAGUACUUUACUGUAUGCUAAUAUGAAAAUGAUUAGAUUAAAUAAACUACAUUAGUAGAUUAACAAUCGUUUUCAUUACAGAUGUGUAUUGCAAUGCUUCAUAAUCAGUCCAAUGAUAUAAACAUGAGAUGGAUCAGAUAUAAACCUAUUUUUUCUAAUUUCAUUUCUCUGAGCCAUGGAUAAGGUGAUCCAAUGCCAAGUGAAAGAGACAUUAGGGAGAAAAACUGAAGCGUUGAGCUUAUAGAUGACCAUCCAUCCUCUAGAACCAUCCCUGCCAUUAACUGCAAAAAUGAUAGAGUUCAAGAGUGAGAGAUUACAGAUAGGAGUACAACAGUAAAUAGUUCGGUAAUAUCUAAUAUGUCAAUGACUACAUACUUUUGUUAGACAAAAAUCUAUACGAAAAAUAGAUGAUAUUAAAAUAAAAUUCGUGAAAAUACAUUGUAUACCUUCUAUGUA
RNAcentral lists this long non-coding RNA (1297 nucleotides) under Daucus carota (carrot). RNAcentral's name for it is "long non-coding RNA (DCAR_LNC004276)". Lineage: Eukaryota; Viridiplantae; Streptophyta; Magnoliopsida; Apiales; Apiaceae. The record is from RNAcentral.